CAGGAUGGACCCGCGUCUGAUUAGCUAGUUGGUAAGGUAACGGCUUACCAAGGCGACGAUCAGUAGCCGACCUGAGAGGGUGAUCGGCCACAUUGGAACUGAGACACGGUCCAAACUCCUACGGGAGGCAGCAGUGGGGAAUAUUGCACAAUGGGCGAAAGCCUGAUGCAGCAACGCCGCGUGAGUGAUGAAGGCCUUCGGGUCGUAAAACUCUGUCCUCAAGGAAGAUAAUGACGGUACUUGAGGAGGAAGCCCCGGCUAACUACGUGCCAGCAGCCGCGGUAAUACGUAGGGGGCUAGCGUUAUCCGGAUUUACUGGGCGUAAAGGGUGCGUAGGCGGUCUUUCAAGUCAGGAGUGAAAGGCUACGGCUCAACCGUAGUAAGCUCUUGAAACUGGGAGACUUGAGUGCAGGAGAGGAGAGUGGAAUUCCUAGUGUAGCGGUGAAAUGCGUAGAUAUUAGGAGGAACACCAGUUGCGAAGGCGGCUCUCUGGACUGUAACUGACGCUGAGGCACGAAAGCGU
This 523-nucleotide ribosomal RNA is filed under the name Clostridioides difficile. RNAcentral describes it as "bacterial SSU rRNA". It matches the Rfam family "Bacterial small subunit ribosomal RNA", at positions 221 to 762 of the family's 1533-position model. The record is from RNAcentral. Lineage: Bacteria; Bacillati; Bacillota; Clostridia; Peptostreptococcales; Peptostreptococcaceae.